RNAcentral lists this ribosomal RNA (422 nucleotides) under uncultured archaeon. RNAcentral describes it as "partial 16S ribosomal RNA". It matches the Rfam family "Archaeal small subunit ribosomal RNA", at positions 323 to 746 of the family's 1478-position model. The record is from RNAcentral.
CUACGGGCGGCUCCAGCCGCGAAUCAUUUACAAUGCACGAAAGUGUGAUAAUGCGAGCCAAAGUGAUUUCCGCACAGGAAAUCUUUUCUUUAUUGUAAAAAGAUAGAGGAAUAAGGACUGGGCAAGACUGGUGCCAGCCGCCGCGGUAAUACCAGCAGUCCAAGUGGCAUCCAUUUUUAUUGGGUCUAAAACAUCCGUAGCUUGUUUAUUAAGUUCCUUGUGAAAUCCUACGUCUCAAGCGUGGGGCUGGCGAGGAAUACUGAUAGGCUAGAGACCGGUAGACGUAAGGAGUACGGUCGAGGUAGUGGUAAAAUACGUUAAUCUCGAUUGGACUAACGAUGAGCGAAGGCACCUUACGAGGACGGAUCUGACAGUGAGGGAUGAAGGCCAGGGGCGCAAAACGGAUUGAUACCCCCGUAGUC